Benincasa hispida (wax gourd) is the source of this 3185-nucleotide non-coding RNA. The record is from RefSeq and is a predicted model, not a curated record. NCBI's taxonomy places the organism in Eukaryota, Viridiplantae, Streptophyta, Magnoliopsida, Cucurbitales, Cucurbitaceae.
UUCAACUGCCAAACCCUUCCUAAUUCCAAACCUAUAGGUCAAAACACCUCAAACAGAUUGUUUUCGGCAAUUUCCCAAAAUUUUUGGGUUUUGGGUUAAGUUUGGGCAAUUUUCCACCAAAACUCUAUAUCAGCGCUCGCAAAACCCCGUUUGAUUUGGGAAAGAAAAUGCCUCCGGCGAAGAAGGGGAAAACGAAAGCGGCGAAAGCUACUGAAUCAAUUCAAUCCUCCGUCAAAACCAACAAUUACCCAUCGUGUCUUCGCUCUGUUUCUCCUUCUUCCGUCGCCAUUACCAUCCACGCAAAGCCUGGCUCCAAGAUCGCUUCUAUCACAGACUUUGGCGAUGAUGCGUUGGGAGUGCAAAUCGAUGCACCGGCCAAAGAUGGAGAAGCUAAUGCUGCACUUCUUGAUUACAUGAGCUCUGUUUUAGGUGUCAAAAGAAGACAAUUAUCUAUAGGUUCUGGCUCUAAAUCAAGAGACAAGGUUGUGAUCGUGGAGGAGGUAAUUAUUUUGGGGUCGAGGAUCGAGUCAACAGGAUACUUUCAGACUUUGUUGUCUUUAUGUUCUCAUCUGGCUAAGACCUGUAUGGUGAUCCGUAUAAAGGUAACGAGGGUUCAGUUAGACAUGUUUAGGCAUACCAUAUUCGGACCCAUCUUAGAUAGUACUCUCUUCCUCCAUGGACAAUUGAUACAUCACCUACUUCUCAAAGAGGUGGUUGAUGAUAGACCGAACAUAAUUUCCUUUAAUCUGUUUGGGUCUAGGAUGUCAUUUGCUAAGGAUGAGUUUGAUCUCAUCACUUGGUUUAGGGUGCAGACGCGAGUGGUGCGGAAUAAUCCUAACCCUACAAAGCUUAGAAACCUAUACUUCAACAAUAGGCUUAGAUUGAAACAGACUUAAGCUGAGGAACAUUUUCUUGCUAUGGACUUUAGAAGUGAUGAGGAUGCGGUGAAAGUGGCACUUGCUUAUUUCAUAGAGUUAGUCAUGAUGAGGAGGAAGAAUAAGCAGGUGUUUGACUAUACCAUCAUCAGAAUUGUGAAUGGUUGAGAGAUUUUUUGCAACUAUGACUAGAGUAGUGUGAUUUUCGAGAAAACAAUCAGUAGUCUUAAGAGAGCUCUUACCAGUGCUAUCGAUCGAGCAGAACCCGAGAUGUUAGCUAGAUAUAGCCUGUAAGGAUUCCCCAUUCACCUUACAGGUUAGUUUACAUACGUAUUCUACGUGUGCUUCCUUCUCCGUUAUCGUCAAUUAUUUUUUAUGAUUUGAUUCUAUCUUCCUAUUUAUAAGUAUAGGCAUGUGAAACGAUUUCUUCAUUCAGAAACCUCGUGGCAACUCGUACUAGUGAGACAACUAGUCUAUGUUUGUCUCGAUGGGAAAGCAGGAAAAACCCAACAUAUGCCUUGUUGGAUAGAGAUAUUUUCAAUCCACGACAAAUAAUGGAUUUAAAAUUCUUUUUAUAUAAUGUUCUAAGUUAAUGUUGCUUAUGCCCCUAACUCCUUACAUGCAAGGAAACCCCGUUAUAAUGGUACGAUUUGUACCAACAGAGGACGAGGUAGCUCACAUGCGUCACAUAGUUCUUGUCCUAGAAGUACGUGUCCUCUCACCGAGGCUUGUUAGUGAGGGUGAUGUUGGCCACGAUCAAGGUGAUCGUGGCGAAGAGGGUGGGGACCAUCACGACGAGGGUGAUCAUGGCGUCAGACUGGAUCACAUCCAUAGUGAGGGUGAUCAUGGUGACAAUGAGGGUGAUCAUGGACAUGAUGACCACCAAGACUAGAACCGAGUUGAUGUUGAAAUGAGUCGGGUGGAAGAAGAUCCCUCCCAUUCAAACAUCGACAUUGACAAUUCUACACAUCUGAUUCGUUGUGGAAUAUCGGAUACCCAGGUUACAGAUGAGCUCAAAUGGCUUCAAGCACAUAGAGAUAUAUUUGAGGCCGAUUUGAGGUCUAGGUUCGAUGCCUUGAAAUCGGCAUCUAAAGCUGUGGGAUAAAUAAAACGAUUGGAGGGCUCGCCUGGAUCGGUUUGAAGCCAAUGUUAAGCCCGAGUUCGAUACCCUCCAUUCUAAGGUUGUUGAUAUAUAGCGAGAUGUCUCUGCUAUGAUGGGAUAUCUAAGGCAACUACUAAAGGGAAAAUAUGUUGCGCAAUCUGAUGAUGCGAAUGUAGAACCCGAAAUUGAUUUCCCUCAUAUCGUGACUGAGGAUGUUCUUGGCUCAUCUAGGGUUGUGGGAUAUUGCAUCGGAUCCCUUUGGGGAGGAGCUGAGGGAGCAAAGGAUAACUCAGUUGUCUUCGCUCUUUAAAUCAUUCCUAACACUGUUGAGGAUAUAUGUAGUCUUCAGAAACUGACACUUGGAGGAUAGAAGAUAAUUACAAUUGACUCACAGGAUGUUAGUGUUAUAGAAACUGUGCCUUUAGGUGUCGAUGGCACAAGUAAGAAUGAAUCUAAUGAACCAAAGGAAUCAUAUGUUCAUCCUGACGACGUGGUGAAACAAAUGAACACUGGCGCCUUGGUCAUCGUACUUAGUCCGCAUAAACAAGGCCCGAAAACAUAACGUAGAUACAAUACAAACGGUGGACAAUGAGGACGAGGAUAAUUAGAGGAAGACAACCAGUCGCAAAGGCAAGACAUCCAUAACCUCAGUUACCAAAGUUGUUGAAGUUAGUAUUUUACGAUGUCGAUGUGUGCUUUCAGAUGUCGUACAACGUUCCUAAUAGUUAUUUAGUAGGAUACAUCCACGAGAACGCUGGAUUGUUUGAAAAUAGACGAGGAAUGCUCCAAAAGUACUUCAGGCCUUGGGGGAACAGUGAGAAGCUACUGAUUAAAGAUGAAACAAAAGGAAACUGAGAUACUAGAUGAUCCAAUUCCAGUUCCUAUACUUAUUCCAGUUAUGUCGCACAUUCUAGUGGCGUUACAGGGAGGCCGAUCCGGAUUGGUGCGUACACGUUGGGUUCCAUGGAACUAUCGUCACCAUAUAAGGUCCCUGAACUUUAACCAAAUAAGGGUAAAGGGAAACAGAAGGGAUAUAACCUGAUGGUAUCAAUUCCAAAAUAGAGUGAGAAGUACAUGAUAGGGAAUAAAUCAUCCACAAAUAACAUCGUCAAACUUGUGGGAGCAAGCAUUGCACCCACUUUGUAAAGUAACCUAUUUAGGAAAAUUGCAGGUUUUGACCUAAAAAGUUUUUUCCCAUUCAAAAGUAA